UACGGGGGGAGCAAGCGUUGUUCGGAUUUACUGGGCGUAAAGGGCGCGUAGGCGGUCAGCACAAGUCAGUUGUGAAAUCUCCGGGCUUAACUCGGAAAGGUCAACUGAUACUGUGCGACUAGAGUGCGGAAGGGGCAACUGGAAUUCCGCGUGUAGCAGUGAAAUGCGUAGAUAUGCGGAGGAACACCGAUGGCGAAGGCAAUCCCCUGGACCUGUACUGACGCUCAUGCACGAAAGCGUGGGGAGCAAACAGG
RNAcentral lists this ribosomal RNA (254 nucleotides) under uncultured bacterium. RNAcentral describes it as "partial 16S ribosomal RNA". It matches the Rfam family "Bacterial small subunit ribosomal RNA", at positions 524 to 776 of the family's 1533-position model. The record is from RNAcentral.